Long non-coding RNA from Cebus imitator (Panamanian white-faced capuchin), 717 nucleotides. RefSeq lists it as uncharacterized. The record is from RefSeq and is a predicted model, not a curated record. Lineage: Eukaryota; Metazoa; Chordata; Mammalia; Primates; Cebidae. The transcript has 3 exons.
UUUGUUGCCCUUCCUCACUCAGGCACAGUCUGGGGAAGACUUUGGCCUCAGCCCACACUAGAAGGCUGUUUACCAGACCUGCUGGAGCCUCUGAGGGGCAGCAGCCAGCUCACACCGCAUGCCCUGGAUGGCCAGAAGGCACAGGAGACCACAGAGCAUAUGAGUGGGGUAAGAGGAAACCAUCUAUCAACAAACAGGGACCAGAGCAAAUGAAGUUCCAACAUCUUGCUCAUGCUCUUGCAUGGCCAGAAGUCUCAGCUGCUCUGAAAUGACUCCCAUGUCUCCUGAUAUAAUUUCUGGCUCACUAGGUAGCCUAAAUAUUGCAUCUUUUUCUUCCCAUUUUAUGUCACUGUCAUUAUCUAUACUCCACUCCCUUUAAAAACAGCACUCCUCUUCUUGGUGGAUACCAAAGCACUUUGAGAAGAAGAAGGAAUGCAUGUAUUCCUAACCAAUGAACUUUGGAGAAAUUAACAGGCAAAGGACCAAGUACUACCAAUAUAAAAAUAAAAACGUAAAUUAAACCCAAAGAGAAAUGGCUGCUUCGCUUGUCUGCCUAAAAGGGAGUCAAUCUCACUUUGAAUCAGAUCACUCAUUUUUUUCUUCAAUAUUUUAAAAUGUAAAAAUUUGAGAUACAAAUUCAAAGAAGCAACCAUCUACAUUUUCCACAUCCCACUUAUAUCUUAGCCUAUUUUAAACUACUUCUAACUCUUUGCACAU